RNAcentral lists this ribosomal RNA (260 nucleotides) under uncultured prokaryote. Its description in RNAcentral is "partial 16S ribosomal RNA". It matches the Rfam family "Bacterial small subunit ribosomal RNA", at positions 524 to 784 of the family's 1533-position model. The record is from RNAcentral.
UACGGAGGAUCCUAGUGUUAUCCGGAUUUAUUGGUUUAAAGGGAGCGUAGGCGGGAGGUCAAGUCAGCUGUGAAAUGUAUCUGCUUAACGGGUACACUGCAGUUGAAACUGGUUUUCUUGAGUGCGUAAGAGGCAGGCGGAAUUCGUUGUGUAGCGGUGAAAUGCUUAGAUAUGACGAGGAACUCCUAUUGCGAAGGCAGCUUGCUGGGUCGUUACUGACGCUGAUGCUCGAAGGUGCGGGGAUCAAACAGGAUUAGAUA